AAGAUGACUUUUGUCCUAUUAUAUUUGGUAGACCCUUCUUGAAUACUGUUAAUGCUAAGAUAGAUUGCAAAAAAGAUGUUGUUACUGGAUUGGGGAUAUGUCUCAUCUAUAUCUAUCUAUCUAUCUAUAUCUUCUAUCUAUAUCUAUAUCUAUCUAUCUAUUUAUCUAUACCUAUACUAAUUUGAGACUCCCUGCAAAUUACCACGUUAAUUAAAAAUUAAGAGCCGUUUAUCUGGUGGGACCCCGUGUUAUGUAUUCUACAACCAUUAGAUGAAUCCCGCCGGGCUAACUAUUGCACAUGGCCGCCUCUUAUUUUAUAAUAAAGAAAAAACCUAUCUGCCCAUCGGCCCGUCUUCCUCCUCUGCCUCCUACACUAUUCCUCUUCUGCCGCUCUCCAUGCCCUAGGCCUAGAGGCUCCAUCCAUGAGAUGUGGUCUCAGUAUUCAGGUACACGACGACGGCGGCCGGUGGCGCUCCCAUUCAUGGCCGGCGAGGAGAAGCUGCAGCUUCCGUCGCGCCCCGAGGUAACAUGGAGUCUGCUCAUUUGUAACGGCAUAGAGAUAGGAACGAGCAAUUCAGCUUAACUUUGAGAAAGUGGCGGACAAAAGAGAACUGGACUAUUGUUGCUGAGCGCUAGCUCUGGCCGCAUGAUCAUCUAUGUAUAUAGUUUUCAACAAUAAAUGUAUCCUGAUUGGUAUAGCACAAUUGGAAAUCCUACUUUCUUCUGAUCUCUUAAUUUCAAGAUGAACUGGAGAGGGGAAUUUGUACUAAGUUUGGAAUCUGUCACAGUAAGUGUGUAUUUGCGGUAUUGAUGUACAGUUAUUAAGAAAGAUACAUUUUCCAGCUA
Aegilops tauschii subsp. strangulata is the source of this 846-nucleotide long non-coding RNA. RefSeq lists it as uncharacterized. The record is from RefSeq and is a predicted model, not a curated record. Lineage: Eukaryota; Viridiplantae; Streptophyta; Magnoliopsida; Poales; Poaceae.